This is a long non-coding RNA of Gorilla gorilla gorilla (western lowland gorilla), 1997 nucleotides long. RefSeq lists it as uncharacterized. NCBI's taxonomy places the organism in Eukaryota, Metazoa, Chordata, Mammalia, Primates, Hominidae. The transcript has 7 exons. The record is from RefSeq and is a predicted model, not a curated record.
CCAAGUUCAAGCGAUUCUCAUGCCUCAGCCUCCUUGCUGGGACUACAGGCAUGCACCCACCACACCCAGCUAAUUUUUUUUUGUAUUUUUAGUAGAGAUGGGGUUUCACCAUGUUGGUCAGGCUGGUCUUGAACUCCUGACCUCAAAUAAUGCGCACACCUUGGCCUCCCAAAGUGCUGGGAUUACAGACAUAAGCCACCUUGCCCAGCCCCAGGACUUUCCUUUCAUGUUAUCCUAGGAGUUCCCUUUACUUCUUUCUUGUGUAUAAUCUCCUAUUUCCUGGAUCCCAGAUCUUUCUUAGUUUCUUCCCUCAUUUCAUGAAUUUCUCCCUCCAGCAACUUCCCAAGCAAGAAUACAUGGAAGUAAAAUUUUCAGCUUCUCAUAUGUAAAACCGUUCUACUCUUACACGUGAUUGAUAGUUUGGCUGGAUAUAGAACUCUAGGUUAAAUACAGAUAUUGGCAGGGUAUAAAAAAAGAAAAACAAAAUGAAAAAGAACUCUAGGUUAAAAAUCAUUUUUCCUCAGGAAUUUGAAGGCAUUUCUCUAUAAUUUUCUAGCUUCCAGUGUUCCUGUUAAAAAUGUCAUUCUGAUUUAGCACGUGACCUGUUUUUCUUUCCUUUUUUGUUUGUUUGUUUCAGAGGGAAUUUUGGUCUGUUGCCAAGGCUGGAGUGCAGUGGUGCAAUCUCAGCUCGCUGCAACCUCCCUCUCCUGGGUUCAAAUGAUUCUCCUGUAGCAGCCUCCUGAGUAGCUGGGAUUACAGGCACACACCAUUACACCCAGGUAAAUUGAAGGCCAGAGACAGGAAUUUGCCUAAAUCACAGGUAAGACAUAUAUAAAACAGUAACAAGAUGAUUUAUUGAAAACCCACUACACAGAGCUCCAGGACACAAGGAGUACAAUAUCUGGUCUCUAUGUUCAAAAGAAGAGAGGAAAAUUGUGAAGGAACCAAUAUUUAUUGGGUAUCAAUUGCUUUCUAGCCCUUUCUAAACCUUUUCAUGUUACCUUUGCAAGAACUCUGAGGAAAUUGAAGCUCACAGAGGUCGAAUUGUGAGGUGAGAAUUUGAACCCAGGUUUUAAUUAUCUUUUCACUGUUACCUUUCCAAUGUAUGCGCGACCAUAGAAACUAGUGUUUUGAAGAAUUACACAAAAAUUGAAAAAAUGUAAAAAGAUGAUUGUGUGUCCUUUUAAAGACUUACUAGAGCACUUUUUUUUUUUGAUAUAGAGUCUCACUUUGUCAUCCAGUCUGGAGUGCAAUGGCAUGAUCUCAGCUCACUGCAGCCUCCGUCUCCCGGGUUCAAGCAAUUCUCCUGCCUCACCCUCUCUAGUAGCUGGGAUUACAGAGAUUUCAGGAGAGUGGUAUUCGGUUCUGUUGGCCUCUGACCGCAGGGAAAAGACAGAAGAAGAUGGAAGCAUGAAGGUUUUUGUCAAACACAUUGAUUACCUGGGGAACUCUUCUCUGACUUUUAAAUUGCAUGAAAUAUAACGGACACAAUGUCGUUGACAUACUUGAAACGGACUGUGAUAAUUAUAUUUUUUUAUAAGAAGAAUAUCAACAAUGGGGAAACAUUCCUAAUGCUGGAGCUCUAUGCUCGAACACUGGAUGUGAGCUCACAACUCAAGGAGAGGUUUGUGAAAUAUUGUGAAGAACAUGGGAUUGAUAAGGAAAACAUAUUUGACUUGACCAAAGUUGAUCGCUGUCUCCAGGCCUGAGAUGGGGGAGCAGCCUAGGACUCCAGUGCUGAGUGAAUGCUUCCUCACCUGGACUCUAGUAUCUUCCCUUCCUGGUCCCCAUGUCCUCUUAUGACAAGUUCUGUGACCUGAUUUCCAUCAUAUCACACAUGAAGACGUCAUCCCUGCAUCUUUAGGAUCUUCCCUAACUGCCUAAGAAGACUCAGAAAUUCACCAAGAAUCAAAGGUUUUCUUUGAAUUUCUGACUGUCUUUGUCACAGCCAGGGGAACUCUACAUGAAUAACACCUGACUCUACAUGAUCAAUAAAU